Molecule: ribosomal RNA, 1937 nt
Filed under: human gut metagenome
Description: bacterial LSU rRNA
Rfam family: Bacterial large subunit ribosomal RNA
Source: RNAcentral
UCAAGCUAUAAAGAGCAUAGGGUGGAUGCCUUGGCACCAAGAGCCGAAGAAGGACGUGGUCAGCUGCGAUAAGCCAUGGUCAGCCGCAAGCAGGCAAUGACCCAUGGAUUUCCGAAUGCGGAAACGCGGCACGUUAACAGCGUGUCAUCAUGUCAUGAAUAAAUAGUGACAUGAGGGGAACCCGGUGAACUGAAACAUCUAAGUAGCCGGAGGAAGAGAAAGAAACAUCGAUUUCCUUAGUAGCGGCGAGCGAAAGGGAAAGAGCCCAAACCGAGGGUCUACGGACGUUCGGGGUUCGGACUUGCAAAAAUCGAAGUACUUAUAGACGAAGAGGUUUGGAACUUCCUACCAAAGAGGGUAACAGUCCCGUAGUCGAAAUGAGUACAAGAGGGCGAGAAUCCAGAGUACCACAGGACACGAGUAAUCCGGUGGGAAGACGGGGGGCCCACCCCCCAAGGCUAAAUACUACUUGGUGACCGAUAGCGUAUAGUACCGUGAGGGAAAGGUGAAAAGAACCCCGGGAGGGGAGUGAAAGAGAACCUGAAACCCUAUGUUUACAAGCAGAGGGAGCGAAAGCGACCUCGUACUUUUUGUAGAACGGGCCGGCGAGUUACUGUGUGCAGCGAGGUUAAGGCGUAGAGCGCCGGAGCCGAAGCGAGAGCGAGUCUGAAGAGGGCGAAAGUUGUGCGCAGUAGACCCGAAACCGGGUGACCUAUCCAUGGACAGGAUGAAGCGGCGGUAAGACGCCGUGGAGGUCCGAACCACACGUAUGUUGAAAAAUGCGGGGAUGAGCUGUGGAUAGCGGAGAAAUUCCAAUCGAACUCGGAGAUAGCUGGUUCUCCCCGAAAUAGCUUUAGGGCUAGCCUCGAUUUAGAUUACCGGGGGUAGAGCACUGAAUGGGCUAGGGGGCCACAAAGCUUACCGAACCCUAUCAAACUUCGAAUACCGGAUAAUUGAUGAUCGGGAGUCAGACAGUGUGAGAUAAGUUUCAUUGUCGAAAGGGAAACAGCCCAGAUCUACGACUAAGGUCCCAAAGUUCAAGUUAAGUGGAAAAGGAUGUGCAAUUGCGUAGACAACCAGGAUGUUGGCUUAGUAGCAGCCAUUCAUUCAAAGAGUGCGUAAUAGCUCACUGGUCGAGUGAUUGUGCGCCGAAAAUGUAACGGGGCUAAACUUGACACCGAAGUCUAGGCAGAAGGAAACUUCUGGGUAGGGGAGCAACGUGUACGGGCAGAAGCAGAAGCGGAAGCGACUGUGGACUGUACAGGAGAGAGAAUGCCGGCAUGAGUAGCGAGAGCAAAGUGAGAAUCUUUGCCGUCGAAAGCCUAAGGUUUCCUGAGGAAGGCUCGUCCUCUCAGGGUAAGUCGGGACCUAAGCCGAGGACAAUAGUCGUAGGCGAUGGACAAUCGGUUAAUAUUCCGAUACCGCCGAGCAACCGGAUGCAGUGACACAGAAGGAUAGGCAGAGCGUGGCGAUGGUAGACCACGUCCAAGCAGUGAGGCUGUUGUGUAGUGAAGUACGCACAACGGAAGGCUGGGCUGUGAUGGGGAACGAUUACGAUCGGUAAGCUGCUGAAUUCACGCUGGCGAGAAAAGCUGCUACGAAGCGAAGGCGCCCGUACCGCAAACCGACACAGGUAGGCGAGGAGAGAAUCCUAAGACGAGCGGGAGAACCCUUGUUAAGGAACUCGGCAAAAUGACUCCGUAACUUAGGGAGAAGGAGUGCCCAGGAAUGGGCCGCAGAGAAUAGACCCAAGCGACUGUUUACCAAAAACACAGGUCUGUGCGAAGUAGAGAUACGACGUAUACGGGCUGACACCUGCCCAGUGCCGGAAGGUUAAGGGGAAAUGUUAGGGCAACCGAAGCAUGGAACUUAAGCCCCGGUGAACGGCGGCCGUAACUAUAACGGUCCUAAGGUAGCGAAAUUCCUUGUCGGGUAAG